RNAcentral lists this ribosomal RNA (462 nucleotides) under uncultured Pseudomonas sp. RNAcentral describes it as "bacterial SSU rRNA". It matches the Rfam family "Bacterial small subunit ribosomal RNA", at positions 920 to 1382 of the family's 1533-position model. The record is from RNAcentral. Lineage: Bacteria; Pseudomonadati; Pseudomonadota; Gammaproteobacteria; Pseudomonadales; Pseudomonadaceae.
CCCGCACAAGCGGUGGAGCAUGUGGUUAAUUCGAAGCAACGCGAAGAACCUUACCAGGCCUUGACAUGCAGAGAACUUUCCAGAGAUGGAUUGGUGCCUUCGGGAACUCUGACACAGGUGCUGCAUGGCUGUCGUCAGCUCGGUGUCGUGAGAUGUUGGGUUAAGUCCCGUAACGAGCGCAACCCUUGUCCUUAGUUACCAGCACGUUAUGGUGGGCACUCUAAGGAGACUGCCGGUGACAACCGGAGGAAGGUGGGGAUGACGUCAAGUCAUCAUGGCCCUUACGGCCUGGGCUACACACGUGCUACAAUGGUCGGUACAAAGGGUUGCCAAGCCGCGAGGUGGAGCUAAUCCCAUAAAACCGAUCGUAGUCCGGAUCGCAGUCUGCAACUCGACUGCGUGAAGUCGGAAUCGCUAGUAAUCGUGAAUCAGAAUGUCACGGUGAAUACGUUCCCGGGCCUU